UACGAGUGCCUCAAGCGUUAUCCGGAAUCAUUGGGCGUAAAGGAUGUGUAGGUGGUAGUGUUAGUCUCUUGUUAAAUUCUUCGGCUUAACCGGGGGCAUGCAAGGGAAACGGCACAACUAGAGGAUGCGAGGGGUCUGCGGAACUCAUAGUGUAGCGGUAAAAUGCGUUGAUAUUAUGGGGAACACCAAAAGCGAAGGCAGCAGACUGGAGCACUCCUGACACUGAAACAUGAAAGCGUGGGUCGCGAAUGGG
RNAcentral lists this ribosomal RNA (253 nucleotides) under uncultured bacterium. RNAcentral describes it as "partial 16S ribosomal RNA". It matches the Rfam family "Bacterial small subunit ribosomal RNA", at positions 524 to 776 of the family's 1533-position model. The record is from RNAcentral.